CCGGCUCUGCCCCUUCCAGCGCGUCACCCAGAGACCCAAAAACGGCGGCGCCGAGACCAACCUGGGGUCAGGGCACCCCAAAACACCCCAAAAACACCCCAAACACCCCAAAAAUACCCCAAAAACCCCCAAAACACCCCAAAAAUAUCCACAAAAUACCCCAAAAACCCCCAAAACCACCUCAAAAACCCCCAAAAUCUCACCAAAAACACCCAAAAAAACCCAAAUCCCCCCCAAAACCACCCUGGGGACGCCUGGGGACAGCCCCUGGUGUCACCUGACCCCCCAUGACGUCACCCGACCCCCAUGAUGUCACCUGACCCCGUGACGUCACCUGACCCCGUGACGUCACCUGUGCUCACCUGGCCCCUCCCCCACAGGCUCUGGGGCUCCUGGGCGGGGCCCGAAGGCGACAAAUUCGGGGCCCAAAAAUACGAGGGGGGCACGGGGUGCUGGCAGGGACCCAACAGAGCCACCACGGUGCGGCUCAGGUGUGGCCGGGACACGGCGGUGACGGCGGCGUCGGAGCCGAGCCGCUGCGAGUACCUGCUGGAGCUGGAGACACCUGCGGCCUGCAGGGAGCCCGAAACACCUGGGCACGAGGAGCACGACGAGCUCUGAGCCCCAAAAUGUCCCAAAAUAUCCCAAAUUAUCCCCAAAAAAUAUCCCCAAAUUAUCCCCAAAAACAUCCCCAAAAUAUUCCCAAAAUAUCCCCAAAAAAUAUCCCAAAAUAUCCCCAAAUCCCUGCAGGGAGCCCGACACACCUGGGCACGAGGAGCACGACGAGCUCUGAGCCCCAAAAUGUCCCCAAAUGUCCCCAAAAUCAUCCCCAAAAACAUCCCCAAAAUAUCCCAAAUUAUCCCCAAAAUAUCCCAAAAUAUCCCCAAAUCCCUGCAGGGAGCCCGAAACACCUGGGCACGAGGAGCACGAUGAGCUCUGAGCCCCAAAAUGUCCCCAAAAUAUCCCCAAAAUGUCCCAAAUUAUCCCCAAAAUAUCCCCAAAAUAUCCCCAAAUCCCUGCAGGGAGCCCGACACACCUGGGCACGAGGAGCACGACGAGCUCUGAGCCCCAAAAUGUCCCAAAAUAUCCCCAAAAUAUCCCAAAUUAUCCCCAAAAAAUAUCCCAAAAUAUCCCCAAAUCCCUGCAGGGAGCCCGACACACCUGGGCACGAGGAGCACGACGAGCUCUGA
RNAcentral lists this long non-coding RNA (1190 nucleotides) under Cyanistes caeruleus (blue tit). RNAcentral's name for it is "lncRNA (ENSCCEG00000001462.1)". Lineage: Eukaryota; Metazoa; Chordata; Aves; Passeriformes; Paridae. The record is from RNAcentral.